Arachis ipaensis is the source of this 403-nucleotide non-coding RNA. The record is from RefSeq and is a predicted model, not a curated record. NCBI's taxonomy places the organism in Eukaryota, Viridiplantae, Streptophyta, Magnoliopsida, Fabales, Fabaceae.
UGACAGUUUUAAACUUUUAAUUUCUAUAUUGACAGUGGAUCUCCCCGAGAGGACAAAGAUCAGAUCCGUGAUUCUGCUCCUGAAAUUCGUGAUGUAUUUGGGGAUUUUGACGAUGAAGAAGAGGAUGGAUAUGCAGUUCAUCAUGACAUUGAACAUGACUCAAAUAGAUCCCCUGUUGAAGAAGAGGGCUAUGAAAAAGGCCCGAGGCCAGAGGAUAUACUUGCAGAUGAAGAUCAUAGGUAUGGGUCGGAAGAGGAAAAUUAUGAGAUGAAAACUAAAGAGAAACAACUUGGGCCACCAUUGGAGUUAGAGGUUCCGCUGCAAUCACCUCCGGCUCUUCCAGAAAAGAUGAACAUGAUUAAAGUUUCUAAUAUUAUGGGUGUUGACCCAAAACCAUUUGAUC